UACGUAGGGCGCAAGCGUUGUCCGGAAUUAUUGGGCGUAAAGAGCUCGUAGGCGGCUUGUCACGUCGGGUGUGAAAGACCGGGGCUUAACCCCGGUUCUGCAUUCGAUACGGGCUGGCUAGAGUGUGGUAGGGGAGAUCGGAAUUCCUGGUGUAGCGGUGAAAUGCGUAGAUAUCAGGAGGAACACCGAUGGCGAAGGCAGGUCUCUGGGCUGAUACUGACGCUCAUGCACGAAAGCGUGGGGAGCAAACAGG
RNAcentral lists this ribosomal RNA (253 nucleotides) under uncultured bacterium. RNAcentral describes it as "partial 16S ribosomal RNA". It matches the Rfam family "Bacterial small subunit ribosomal RNA", at positions 524 to 776 of the family's 1533-position model. The record is from RNAcentral.